This 333-nucleotide ribosomal RNA is filed under the name Vibrio cholerae. RNAcentral's name for it is "partial 23S ribosomal RNA". It matches the Rfam family "Bacterial large subunit ribosomal RNA", at positions 16 to 358 of the family's 2925-position model. The record is from RNAcentral. Lineage: Bacteria; Pseudomonadati; Pseudomonadota; Gammaproteobacteria; Vibrionales; Vibrionaceae.
GGCGCACGGUGAAUGCCUGGGCACUAGAAGCCGAUGAAGGACGUGACGAACCACGAAAGGCUACGGAGAGCUGUAAGUAAGCUAAGACCCGUAGAUAUCCGAAUGGGGGAACCCGGUGCAGCGAUGCAUCAUUAAAUACUGUUAAGGUAUUUAAAGGAAGACGCAGUGAACUGAAACAUCUAAGUAGCUGCAGGAAGAGAAAGAAAAAUCGAUUUCCUAAGUAGCGGCGAGCGAAAGGGAAAGAGCCCAAACCAUUGAAUUUAUUCAGUGGGGUUGUAGGACUACGAUGUGAGACAGAGAGGCGUAGUUGAAGUCUUUGGGAAAAGACGCCGG